GAGAUUCAGGACACAUCCAAGGGUGACAGCUUGAGGUUGGGUUUUUAUUUUUUUAUUUGUAUAGUACAAUCUCUGUGGUAGCAGAAAUAUAUGCACAAAAAACAAUUCAAAUAAGAGUUCAGAGUAAAAAAAAGUCAGCUAAGACUGUAUCCCGCAGGACAUUUCAUAUAUAUGGAUUUCACAGCUACACUCGAUCCACGCCCCACACCACAUACAGGCUGCUGUCUCCCACAAGAAUGAUGAUGUCAGGGGCAUCAGGAAAGGAGGGGAGAGCUCUGCUCCACACGCUGGCGGCCUUGGCUGCUCCAGAGCAAUCCGCUGCUCCAGCUUCAGCCAUGGGACCAAGAGGGUAAAGGAGCAGCUUCUGGAGGCCCCAGGCAGAGGCCACCUUGCAGCAGUGACUGGCGACUUUGCAGUACAUCUCUGCUCACUUGCUGUCCCUUGGGAGUGAGCACCGUCUAUAACACAUCGCCAUCUACAAAAGCCUGGUCACAGUGUUCACCAGCACAUUCAUGAAAAUUUAAAUCAACAUUAACCAAAGUACCUGCAAGUAACACUGCUUACUCUUGCUGUUUGCCUCAUCUGACUGGAAACCUUAGCCCCCAAAUAUGAAAUGCCUUCUCUAGAUUAAAAGGAUUCAGAGAUGUUGCACUAUUGCACUAUA
Molecule: long non-coding RNA, 664 nt
Filed under: Homo sapiens (human)
Lineage: Eukaryota; Metazoa; Chordata; Mammalia; Primates; Hominidae
Description: non-protein coding lnc-TCIRG1-1:3
Source: RNAcentral